RNAcentral lists this ribosomal RNA (700 nucleotides) under uncultured bacterium. RNAcentral's name for it is "bacterial SSU rRNA". It matches the Rfam family "Bacterial small subunit ribosomal RNA", at positions 84 to 782 of the family's 1533-position model. The record is from RNAcentral.
UUUGCUGACGAGUGGCGGACGGGUGAGUAAUGUCUGGGAAACUGCCCGAUGGAGGGGGAUAACUACUGGAAACGGUAGCUAAUACCGCAUAACGUCUUCGGACCAAAGAGGGGGACCUUCGGGCCUCUUGCCAUCGGAUGUGCCCAGAUGGGAUUAGCUAGUAGGUGGGGUAACGGCUCACCUAGGCGACGAUCCCUAGCUGGUCUGAGAGGAUGACCAGCCACACUGGAACUGAGACACGGUCCAGACUCCUACGGGAGGCAGCAGUGGGGAAUAUUGCACAAUGGGCGCAAGCCUGAUGCAGCCAUGCCGCGUGUAUGAAGAAGGCCUUCGGGUUGUAAAUACUUUCAGCGGGGAGGAAGGGAGUGAGGUUAAUAAGCUCAUUCAUUGACGUUACCCGCAGAAGAAGCACCGGCUAACUCCGUGCCAGCAGCCGCGGUAAUACGGAGGGUGCAAGCGUUAAUCGGAAUUACUGGGCGUAAAGCGCACGCAGGCGGUCUGUCAAGUCGGAUGUGAAAUCCCCGGGCUCAACCUGGGAACUGCAUUCGAAACUGGCAGGCUUGAGUCUCGUAGAGGGGGGUAGAAUUCCAGGUGUAGCGGUGAAAUGCGUAGAGAUCUGGAGGAAUACCGGUGGCGAAGGCGGCCCCCUGGACGAGGACUGACGCUCAGUGCGAAAGCGUGGGGAGCAAACAGGAUUAGA